Molecule: ribosomal RNA, 253 nt
Filed under: uncultured bacterium
Lineage: Bacteria
Description: partial 16S ribosomal RNA
Rfam family: Bacterial small subunit ribosomal RNA
Source: RNAcentral
UACGUAGGGGGCUAGCGUUGUCCGGAUUUAUUGGGCGUAAAGGGCUCGUAGGCGGUUUGUCGCGUCGGGAGUGAAAACCUUGGGCUUAACUCAGGGCUUGCUUUCGAUACGGGCAGACUAGAGGUAUGCAGGGGAGAACGGAAUUCCUGGUGUAGCGGUGAAAUGCGCAGAUAUCAGGAGGAACACCGGUGGCGAAGGCAGUUCUCUGGGCCGUAACUGACGCUGAGGAGCGAAAGCGUGGGGAGCGAACAGG